AUAGCACUCUUUAGCCCCUGGGCUGAGAAUUGGAUGCUGUUCUCAGGAACUCGUCUUAAAGACAAUCUUGCGCCGGCUGGUUACGGCAGCCGCUGGACAGAGAGAUGAAGGGCUUGCCCACUUCCUCUGGCCCCAGUGGGUGUUCGGUUGGCGCAAUUGCGCAAGCACUUUAAA
RNAcentral lists this unclassified non-coding RNA (174 nucleotides) under uncultured Ascomycota. RNAcentral's name for it is "sequence contains ITS2". Lineage: Eukaryota; Fungi; Ascomycota. The record is from RNAcentral.